GGGAUGUAUUUGGUUUGCAAUUAAAAUUAGAAUCAAAAUUGAAAUCAAACGAGUUAGAAUAGGAAUCAUAAUAGUUAUAUAUAUCUCUCGAUAUAUUUGGUUUGCAAUCAUAAUUGGAAUAGGAUUUGAAUACUAGAAAAUAAUAAUGAUUAGAUUUGAAGAGAUUAGAACAUUGAUCAUUUGUUGCUGUAGAACUUUGAGAUCAAACUAAGAUAAGUAAGGUUAAGAA
This 229-nucleotide long non-coding RNA is filed under the name Elaeis guineensis (African oil palm). RNAcentral's name for it is "long non-coding RNA (EGUI_LNC013687)". The record is from RNAcentral. Lineage: Eukaryota; Viridiplantae; Streptophyta; Magnoliopsida; Arecales; Arecaceae.